Long non-coding RNA from Exaiptasia diaphana, 384 nucleotides. RefSeq lists it as uncharacterized. NCBI's taxonomy places the organism in Eukaryota, Metazoa, Cnidaria, Anthozoa, Actiniaria, Aiptasiidae. The transcript has 3 exons. The record is from RefSeq and is a predicted model, not a curated record.
GAUAAAAAACUGAUUUUUUUUGUAUUUGUCUUCCAAAGCAACCCUAUUGCAGCAAAGAAGCAACAUUCAGAAUCAAUGUAGAAACUUAUAACAAAAAGAUACCUCAAUCACAGAGGGAGCAUUAUUAUGAGGCCCUUUCAUUUUUACCAUUUAAAGGAAGAGUUGCUUUGGAUAAUCCAGAAAAUCAGUUUUCUCUUGUCCUGGACUUUGGGCAAGAUACAAAUGUAGCAGCUGAAACGCCUUGUAGAUAUUAUUUUGGACGUUUGAUUGGUAAAGGACAACGUCACUUAUGUCAGAARUACUCUUUGAAGGAUAGGUACUUUAUUGGUAAUACAUCAAUGGAUCCAUUGCUAUCAUUCUUUAUGGCUAAUCAAGGACAGGUAU